GGCUUCGUAGCUCAGCUGGUAGAGCAUGCGCGUACAAAGCGUAGGCGGUGUCCAUGCGUGGGUUCGAAUCCCACCGAAGCUA
Molecule: non-coding RNA, 82 nt
Organism: Echinostoma caproni
Lineage: Eukaryota; Metazoa; Platyhelminthes; Trematoda; Plagiorchiida; Echinostomatidae
Source: Rfam